GCAGAUGCGGCCUGAGCAAGAAGGAAACCCCGCUGGCCGCUGGCUCGACCUAGGAACCAGGAGUAAAAAUAUUUAAAAACAUAAAACGAAAAAAACAACGCAUCACGUCUGCCGGCAAAGGGCCGCGGAGAAGACGGGCAGAUGGAGGAAGGAGGCUCGUGUCCACCCAGGUCAGGCCGUGGCCCGUGGUAACCGCUUCAUUUUCCCUGCGCUCCGUGCUCCGGAGUUCACACCGCUUUCUUCUUCCUCCCUCCCCCCUCCCUCCCUGCCUUCCUUUCUUCUCUUCUCAAUCUUAUUUCAGAACAGUUAGGUUUCUGGAAAAGUUGCAAAGAUGGUGCACAGAGUCCCAUAAAGCCGGGCUCCCAGGCCUCCCGGCCACCCCCAGAGCAGGUGCCGCGGUUACAGCUCCCGGGCCGAUGUGGACGAUGUGGACCACCGCACCCGCACUUCCUUUCCGCAGCUUUAACCUUUGCUCCUUUUCUGCUCCAGAGUCUCUGCAGGCCCCUCAGGCUGUGGCCGCCUCUCCCUGCCCUGGUCCGGGGUGACCUUGACAGUGCCGAGGGCUGGGCGGGGAGGUGCAGACUGGCCCUCUGCUGGGUCUGUGUGACCUUUGUUUCUCUCGUCAUCUGGCCUCCUGGGUUCGGGGGAGGAAAACCAGGAAGGCAAAGUGCCCGGCUCAUCGGUCAGGUCAAGGGUCACGCUCUCAGCCUGACUCCUGGGGCAGCGCCUCGGUCACCUGGCUCGGGGUGUCUCCCCGGUGUCUCCACGGCCGAGUUUCUAGAAGCAGGUUCUACAGGCGGGAUCACACCUGUGAAUCGGAAACGCGUUCCUUUCUCUCCUGUAUCUGCCUUUGACGUCGGCCUCGGGUUGGCCUGGUACCGGCGUCUCGGGCGCGGCUGGAAGGCCGGCAGCCUGGCGUGCAAUGCGGCGGGUGUGGUGCUUCCAGGCUCCUUCUCAGGGUCAGGGCGUGUCCUUCUGUUUCUAUUUUGCUGAGAGUUUUUUUAAAAAUCAUAAAUGGGUGUCAAAUGUUGUCACA
Long non-coding RNA from Myotis lucifugus (little brown bat), 1036 nucleotides. RefSeq lists it as uncharacterized. Lineage: Eukaryota; Metazoa; Chordata; Mammalia; Chiroptera; Vespertilionidae. The record is from RefSeq and is a predicted model, not a curated record. The transcript is spliced from 2 exons.